AUACGUAUGUCGCAAGCGUUAUCCGGAUUUAUUGGGCGUAAAGCGCGUCUAGGCGGUUUAGUAAGUCUGAUGUGAAAAUGCGGGGCUCAACCCCGUAUUGCGUUGGAAACUGCUAAACUCGAGUACUGGAGAGGUAGGCGGAACUACAAGGGUAGAGGUGAAAUUCGUAGAUAUUUGUAGGAAUGCCGAUGGGGAAGCCAGCCGACUGGACAGAUACUGACGCGAAAGUGCGAAAGCGUGGGUAGCAAACAGGAUUAGAUUCCCUGGUAGUCCACGCCGUAAACGAUGAUUACUAGGUGUUGGGGGUCGAACCUCAGCGCCCAAGCUAACGCGAUAAGUAAUCCGCCUGGGGAGUACGUACGCAAGUAUGAAACUCAAAGGAAUUGACGGGG
Molecule: ribosomal RNA, 392 nt
Filed under: uncultured bacterium
Lineage: Bacteria
Description: partial 16S ribosomal RNA
Rfam family: Bacterial small subunit ribosomal RNA
Source: RNAcentral